GAUGAACGCUGGCGGCGUGCUUAACACAUGCAAGUCGAACGGAAAGGCUCCUGCUUGCAGGGGUACUCGAGUGGCGAACGGGUGAGUAACACGUGGGUGAUCUGCCCUGCACUUCGGGAUAAGCCUGGGAAACUGGGUCUAAUACCGGAUAGGACGAUGGUUUGGAUGCCAUUGUGGAAAGUUUUUUCGGUGUGGGAUGAGCUCGCGGCCUAUCAGCUUGUUGGUGGGGUAAUGGCCUACCAAGGCGUCGACGGGUAGCCGGCCUGAGAGGGUGUACGGCCACAUUGGGACUGAGAUACGGCCCAGACUCCUACGGGAGGCAGCAGUGGGGAGUAUUGCACAAUGGGCGCGAGCCUGAUGCAGCGACGCCGCGUGGGGGAUGACGGCCUUCGGGUUGUAAACUCCUUUCGCUAGGGACGAAGCGCAAGUGACGGUACCUGGAGAAGAAGCACCGGCUAACUACGUG
Molecule: ribosomal RNA, 466 nt
Filed under: uncultured bacterium
Lineage: Bacteria
Description: partial 16S ribosomal RNA
Rfam family: Bacterial small subunit ribosomal RNA
Source: RNAcentral